AUGGCAGAGAGCCUGGUGCUGGUGGUGGGGAGGCACGGGUGCUACCUCAGCCACGUGGUGAAGCGGCUGUUGCAGGGGCUCGGGGUGAACCCCACCAUGCACGAGGUCGCCGACGAGGCCGAGCUCGCUGCAGCGGUGGCCGGGAACGCUGGAGGCGAGGCCGUCGUCGUGCUGCUGGCGGUGUUCGUCGGUGGGAGGAACCUCGGCGGGCUCGAUCGGCUCAUGGCCGUGCACAUCUCCGGCGAGCUCGUGCCCAUACUCAAGGACGCCGGCACGCUCUGGCUCUAA
RNAcentral lists this ribosomal RNA (288 nucleotides) under Triticum aestivum (bread wheat). Its description in RNAcentral is "partial small subunit ribosomal RNA". The record is from RNAcentral. Lineage: Eukaryota; Viridiplantae; Streptophyta; Magnoliopsida; Poales; Poaceae.